AGAUAAUGAGCUGUGUGGUGAUCAGCCCAGGCCUCAGAAGAAGUAGAUAAGGGGCAACCUCAGAGCCCUUCACCCACUGGACGCCACUGAAGACAGGAUCUCUGGAACAGGCACUACACCCCAUUGUGAUGUCCAGACGCCAGCUGGGUUUCCAGGGGCAACGGGGCUGCCCCAGUUCUGAGCCCAGGGGACCCCAGGAGGCAGAUGUGCUCUGGGGCGUGAGAUCCGUUAAGUCUGCCUCAGGAAAGCUGCAUCCUCCACACUGAAACCACACCGGCAUUAGGACGCUCCACUCAGCCUCUGGAAACACCCACCACUGCCUUCUCCUGGAAAGCACCUGCUCUAGUCCCUGGAGACUCGUAUUAGGGCAGAAUCCAACAGAAGAAUUCCGUGGUCAGCAGAGAAAGCCCCAUCUCAGCAUCCAUGGAGCAGGUGCAUCUGAGCACAAGCCUGGUGGACCAGCCUACAAGCCUAAGACGAGGGCACAGGAAGCCUGGGUAUUGCCCACAAACACUCCAUCCAGUUCUUCCAUGGCCUGCCUUGAGGUCUACCAAGCAUUUAAAAGUCACCUUACCUGCCUGGGUGCAGCUGCAAGAAAAAAAAAGAAUGCUGUUCGUGGAGUCCCUGCUAUGGCACAACAGGUUCAAUGGUAUCAAUGCAGCACCAGGACACAGGUUCGAUUCCCAGCCCACACAGUGGGUCAUAUAUCUGGUGUCAUCAUAGCUGCAGCCUAAGUUACAUCUGUGGCUUGGAUCUGAUCCCUGGCCUAGGAACUCCAACAUAGUUCAUAGAGUGGCCCCCAAAACAAACAAAAAACAAACAAAAAGAAAAGAAAAAGAAUGCUGUUAGUUAUAGUUCAUGUGAGAACUCCAAAUGUUUCUUCUUUUUCAAAUUAAAAAAAAAAUUUCUUUAUUUUAGGUUCAUUACAUUUAAUUGUGAAUUUUAGAAGAAGUGGAUUAAUUUUGCCUGAAAAAGUCCUGCUGAGCUUUUGACUAGGAUUAUGUUCAGUCUCUAAAGUGAUUUGAAGAGAACUGACAUCUUGGCAGUACGACAGGCUUCCAACAUAUGAACAUUUAAUCUUUUCAUUUAUUUACGGCUUUUUCAAAUUCUCUCAGAAAUUUGGGGGGUGAAGAACACACCAUUAAGAAUGCUAUUUGCAUUGUAUCUCAGAGGGUUAACAACCCAGCUAGUAUCCAUGAGGCCACAGGUUCCAUCCCUGGCCUUGCUCUGGGUUAAGGAUCCUGUGUUGCUGUCACCUGUGGUGUAGGUCUCAGACCUGGCUCAGACCCUGCAUUGCUAUGGCUGUGGUGUAGGUCAGCAGCUGCAGUUCCCAUUUGACCCUAGUCUAGGAACUUCC
RNAcentral lists this long non-coding RNA (1357 nucleotides) under Sus scrofa (pig). RNAcentral's name for it is "lncRNA (ENSSSCG00070000349.1)". The record is from RNAcentral. Lineage: Eukaryota; Metazoa; Chordata; Mammalia; Artiodactyla; Suidae.